RNAcentral lists this ribosomal RNA (253 nucleotides) under uncultured bacterium. Its description in RNAcentral is "partial 16S ribosomal RNA". It matches the Rfam family "Bacterial small subunit ribosomal RNA", at positions 524 to 776 of the family's 1533-position model. The record is from RNAcentral.
GACGUAGGGUGCGAGCGUUGUCCGGAUUUAUUGGGCGUAAAGAGCGUGUAGGCGGCCGUACAGGUCAGCUGUGAAAACUCGAGGCUCAACCUCGAGACGUCGGUUGAAACCGUACGGCUAGAGUCCGGAAGAGGAGAGUGGAAUUCCCGGUGUAGCGGUGAAAUGCGCAGAUAUCGGGAAGAACACCCGUGGCGAAGGCGGCUCUCUGGGACGGUACUGACGCUGAGACGCGAAAGCGUGGGGAGCGAACAGG